CUCCCCUUUGAGAGUAUCGUAUAUCUCGUGUGCAUACUAUCAGCUUUACUUAGUUCUUUACUUUUGGAAAGCUAUAUACAAAGUGCUGCGUGUUUGUUUCACUAUUAUUCUGGAUUGUUUAGUCUCGACUUCAACGUAUCAAUUAAGUGUAUCAAAUCGAGGAAUGCCACGCGGAAGAAGAUAUCAGUAUUAGAAAAAGGCUGCAAGAGAUAGACGGCUGGCUUGGUGUGCCAAAGAUAGAAGUGCAAACAAAGUCCUCAAGUGAUUCUAAUACUACAUUGUGAGGGCUUGAAGAGGCACUGUGUGAGAAGUGGAAGGAACUCAGUGAAAAGAAGAAAGCAUGCAACAAGGACACUGACAAGCAGAUUGAGUAUGAGAGGAAAUACACAAGAAAGCUAGAAGUUUAAAUCACCCAAAGAGAAAAAGGAAUCUGCCAAAAGAGAUAAAGAGGCAACGAAAAAACUAAAGUUGACAUUUGGAACAACCAGCCUAUAUAAUAAAAUCAUUUAGAUUACCUAUACCACCCUUAAUUGAUUAUUUUCUUGUCAAGGAGAUG
Halichondria panicea is the source of this 556-nucleotide long non-coding RNA. RefSeq lists it as uncharacterized. Lineage: Eukaryota; Metazoa; Porifera; Demospongiae; Suberitida; Halichondriidae. The transcript has 4 exons. The record is from RefSeq and is a predicted model, not a curated record.